CCUACGGUGUGCAGCAGUGAGGAAUAUUGGUCCAUGGACGAGAGUCUGAACCAGCCAAGUAGCGUUCAGGAUGACUGCCCUAUGGGUUGUAAACUUCUUUUCUCUGGGAAUAAACUGUUCCACGUGUGGGAUUUUGUAUGUACCAUAUGAAUAAGGAUCGGCUAACUACGUGCCAGCAGCCGCGGUAAUACGGAGGAUCCGAGCGUUAUCCGGAUUUAUUGGGUUUAAAGGGAGCGUAGGUGGAGUGUUAAGUCAGUUGUGAAAGUUUGCGGCUCAACCGUAAAAUUGCAGUUGAAACUGGCAGUCGUGAGUACAGUAGAGGUGGGCGGAAUUCGUGGUGUAGCGGUGAAAUGCUUAGAUAUCACGAAGAACUCCGAUUGCGAAGGCAGUUCACUGGACUGCAACUGACACUGAGGCUCGAAAGUGUGGGUAUCAAACAGGAUUAGAUACCCCAGUAGUC
Molecule: ribosomal RNA, 460 nt
Filed under: uncultured bacterium
Lineage: Bacteria
Description: partial 16S ribosomal RNA
Rfam family: Bacterial small subunit ribosomal RNA
Source: RNAcentral